CCCUUAGAUGUUCUGGGCCGCACGCGUGCUACACUGAGUGGAUCAGCGGGUCAGGUUGCGCGAAAGUGUUUCCUAAUCUUUAAAUCCGCUCGUGAUGGGGAUUGACGGUUGCAAUUUUCCGUCAUGAACGAGGAAUACCUUGUAAGCGCGGGUCAUCAUCCCGCGCUGAAUACGUCCAUGCCCUUUGUACACACCGCCCGUCGCUCCUACCGAUUGAGUGGUCCGGUGAGGCUUUGGGAUCUGAGCGGAAAGAGCGUUUCGCUGUUUCUGCCCGGAAAACUCAGUCGAACCUUAUCAUUUAGAGGAAGGAGAAGUCGUAACA
This 322-nucleotide ribosomal RNA is filed under the name uncultured eukaryote. Its description in RNAcentral is "partial 18S ribosomal RNA". It matches the Rfam family "Eukaryotic small subunit ribosomal RNA", at positions 1470 to 1796 of the family's 1831-position model. The record is from RNAcentral.